AUUUAAAUUUUAAACUGGUUUAGUCUAAAUUUUCAUUAGUUUAUGAACUUGAUAAAUAUUAACUUGUAGAUUUUGUUUCACGAAGUAUGAAUUUUCCGACCUAAAUAAAAUUACGGAAAGCCAUCGUCACUCGCUCGUACGUUGUUCCACAGUUAAACCACGUGAGCGUGGUCUGUACAUGUCACGUUAACUACUUCUGCGUCUUCCAAUUUUGACUUUAUUGGGUAAAUAGUAGUCUGGUUGAUAAGAAAUUUCUUGUAUAAAUAAAAUUUUAAUAAGAGCAUUUUUGUAAGAAAACAAUAAUAAUAUCUUUGGUAGAAGAUAACAUGUGUUGACAAAAAAAGAAAGAAAGAUAACAUGCAGAACUGAAAUAUUUACAUUUGAUUACUUAUCAUCUGGAACAUAUCCAUAGCCGAUCCGGAGUGUAGGCAAAUUAAGGGCAUGAUUAACCAUGGUCUCCUAGCCGGGGUUCUUAACUCAUGAUUUGAUAUUUUUUUGUUUUUUGUUUUUUUUUAACACUUUUCGGCUAAGAGAUUGCUCUUAUAUCUCUUAUUUAAUAGAUGGUUCUUAGUUUUUCUUAGUUAAAAUCUAAGAAAAGAUAAGAACCGUCUCUUAGACGAAGCUAAGAACCUCAGUUAAAAGACUAGGGUUAAUCAUGGUAAGAACUAUGUCGUUUAAAGUAUCAUGAAUUUAAGUGAUAAUUUUAGUUGUAUAUAUACAUUAUAAAAAAUUUACAUCACAAAAAUUUAAUUGCGCAUAAGACAUAAAAAAAUUUAAAAAUGUUGGACCGGCACUGGAAUAAACAUAUGUUUAACUCUGAAUACACGUCAUGUAUCUAGUUGCUUUAUCUCUAAAACUCUAACGUCGAAAUGUUCUUAACUUCUGAUGAUAAGAACAAGAAAAGUUAUAUAUAUUCUUUUUGGCAAAUAGUUGUCCUUCGGCUCUCUAUUUGUAGAUCGACAGCAGUUGGUGAAUUCUCUAUCCUUGCAACAUGGUAGUGGCGGCUCCUCUCAGAGAAGGUGCGACGUAGCUGACAGGUUCGCUUUAUUUUGGACUUACAAGUCUCCACCUCUCUCCUCUUCGGCCUGUUUUGGAUGAUGGGUGGAGUUUCAGAGGUGGGGUAUGACAUCUAGUGGCGGCGGAGGCGAAUCAGUGGUGGGGUGGUGGUGAUGCGAGAUGGGUUGUUCUCCACAUUUCUUCGCCCCUCUUCAUUUAGUGGUAGUGGACGGACUUUAGAUGCAAACACGUUCCAAGUUCGAUCCUCCUGCUGCGAAAACUAAGUCACAUUGUUCUGCUCACCACGGCUGCGGAUACGUCUGUAUGAAAACCCGGGAGAGAGCUUGUCGUGGGCUGCACCUCCCACCCGGAGGUUAGAUCUGUGUCUUUAAUAAAUCCGGGUUUAACUUUUUUUUUCUUCAAAAAAAAUAUAUUUAGAAAGCAUUUACAGUUUUAAAAUAUUUUUUUAAUAAUUGUUUAAUUAAAUAAUAAAGAACAUAAUAUUUUUGCAAAUUAUUUGCCAAUCAAUGCCAUAUGUAUAGUCUAGGUAGUGACAUUGUAAAAGAGUGGCUAGGCACUUAGGCACAUAGAGCAUCCAACUUCAAUCAACACUACAAAAAUAUUUUCUGACCACAAUACCAAACUUCACUCUAAAUAUAUUAUUAUAUUAUUAAAUUAAAUUUUUUAAAUUUAAUAUUUAAAUAUAGAUAAUUAUAAUGUAAUAUAUUACAUAAAACACAUUAUAAUAAAAUAUUUACUAGAUAUAUAAUAAUAUUUAAAUACAUAUCUAUUAUUUCAAUACAUAUAAUAUUUUACUAUAAAUAUUUAAUUUAUAAUUUGAUAUGUAUUUGUUCUCUUAUUUAUCAUUUAUUUGGUUAUAUAUUUUAUUAAUAAACAUAAGUGAAUAGUGUUUAAUGUACUGAAUAUAAACAUAUAGUAUUACACUAAAAUAUUGUGACUUUUAGAGUUGGAUUGAAAAAAUGUUGUAUGAAAUCAUGUUGGAUUAAAAAAAUGUUGUAUGAAAUCAUAUUAAAUAGAUUUUUAGUGUUAGGUUAGAAAUGUUUAGCAUUCAUCUAUGAAGAAACAUGUCGAAAAGAGAAAAGUGAUGUUAACUACUUUCUCUAAAAUGCUCCAUAAUUUAAUUAAUCAUAUUCCUAAAAUUAGUAACAUCUAGUCUUCACAACAUAGGAUAUUCAUAAGGUUUUAUUAUAUUUGUAAACAUUAAUGAUCACCGAAUUUUUAAGUUGAAGUUCUUUCUAAUUAAAAAUAAUCAAAUUAAAUCAAAUCACUUCUUUUUUUGUGUCAAAUUAAAUCAAAUCACUUUAAAGAGAACCUGGUUCUAUUUCUGUGAUAAUAGACAGGCGUGUACAGUUCAUGGUAUAGAUUCUUUACCAAUGUAUGUAAAUGUAUAUAGUGGUAUUUUGCAGUCUUUUAAGGUGCAACAGUUUUUUUCUUCCACAAAAUAUCUAUUAAUAAAAAAUAUCCUAUAUUUUAUAGUAAAUGAUGUUUUUGCAUCAAUGCACAUAUAUUAAGAAAUCUAUUUUUCUCAAAAUUACAUUAAUAAUUUGAGUAUAUUUUAAAUUAUAAACAUAAAUACCAAAAUGUAAUUGGUUACACCAAUUUAAUAAAGGUAAAAUUACCUAGAUACAUAAAAACGUCAUUUAUUAUGAAAUAACAAAAAUUAUUUAAAAUAUUAUAUAUACGUUGAAACGGAGAAAGUAUCUCGAAAGCUCAACAAAUAUCUCUUAUUUAUUUCGCAUCGAUAACAUUAGGAAAAUAAGAGCAUGAUUAUUGGAGGGUUCUUAGGGUCAGGUUCUUAACGGAAUAUAAGAACCCGUUUCUUAACUUUUAACUAAAAAAACUAAGAACCGGUUCUUAAAACUUUUAUUUAAGAGCCGGUUCUUAACUUUUUUAGUUAAAAAUUAAGAGACAGAUUUUUAUAUUUCGCUAAGAACCUCAUCUUAAGAACUUCCCAAUAAUCAUGCUCUAAGUCCCGUGAAGAUCGCAGACAUUAUUUUAGUAUUUUGGUUAUGCACGGGCCAUGUUUAGUUCACUGUGGUUAAGCAAAAAAAAAAAAAGGUUAAGUUCAGUGUCUGUCAGUCUGUCACUGAUUACAUUUUCAGAGAGAAGAUAAGAUUUGAAACAAAAAUAGAUUUAAUGGGGCUGUGAAAGAAGAAUGAACCAGUUCAUCAGUCUCGAGAGAUAAUCCUCAGAUAAAGAGAGCAUAAAGAAUAAAAACAUCCAUUGGAACAAUUUUGGAGGUGAUGGUUGUGGUCCAAUGGGAUAUACUGAAGGCAAUAACAUUAGUAGAAUUAAGAAAGGUGGUUGAUUCAAAUGAGCAAUCGUGGGAUGCAAAACUAUGAACCAAAGCACAGAGAACAUAAUGAUUUUUUAAUUAAUGGAAGAAAUAUAUAUAUAUCGUAUAAGACCAAAAACUUUGAGUAUCUGGAAGCUACCUAAUUUUCAUGAAAUGCUUGUGUUUUCUUGUAAAUAAAGACCUUUUUGAGCUUUA
Long non-coding RNA from Brassica napus (rape), 3508 nucleotides. RefSeq lists it as uncharacterized. NCBI's taxonomy places the organism in Eukaryota, Viridiplantae, Streptophyta, Magnoliopsida, Brassicales, Brassicaceae. The record is from RefSeq and is a predicted model, not a curated record. The transcript is spliced from 3 exons.